RNAcentral lists this long non-coding RNA (248 nucleotides) under Podarcis lilfordi (Lilford's wall lizard). The record is from RNAcentral. Lineage: Eukaryota; Metazoa; Chordata; Lepidosauria; Squamata; Lacertidae.
GUCCCCUUCUCCUUGUGCCCUCCAUCUUUCCCAACAUCAGGGUCUUUUCCAGGGAGUCUUCUCUUCUCAUGAGGUGGCCAAAGUAUUGGAGCCUCAGCUUCAUGAUCUGUCCUUCCAGUGAGCACUCAGGGCUGAUUUCCUUCAGAAUGGAUAGGUUUGAUCUUCUUGCAGUCCAUGGGACUCUCAAGAGUCUCCUCCAGCACCAGAAUUCAAAAGCAUCAAUUCUUCAGCGAUCAGCCUUUUUUAUG